CGGGGUGCUAGGGUCAGUCUGUCACAUCUGGAGUAUUUCUCUUGUCUUUUCUGGUGUCCUGUGUGAAUUUAAAUAUGCUCUGUCUAAUUCUCUCUUUCUCUUUCUUUCUUUCUCUCUCUAGGACCAUGCCUCAGGACUACCUGGCUUGAUGACUCCUUGCUGUCCCCAGUUUACCUGGCCGUGCUGCUGCUCCAGUUCCAAUUGUUCUGCCUGCAGCUAUGGAACCCUGACCUGUUCACCGGACAUACUACCUGUCCCAGACCUGUUGUCCCAGACCUGCUGGAACGCUGACCUAUUCACCGGACGUGCUACCUGUCACAGACCUGCUGUUUUCAACUCUCUAGAGACAGCAGGAGCGGUAGAGAUACUCUCAAAGAUCGGCUAUGAAAAAGCCAACUGACACUUACUCUUGUGUUACUGACUUGUUGCACCCUCGACAACUACUAUGAUUAUUAUUAUUUGACAAUGCUGGUCAUUUAUGAACAUUUGAACAUCUUGGCCAUGUGCUGUUAUAAUCUCCACCCGGCACAGCCAGAAGAGGACUGGCCACCCCUCAUAGCCUGGUUCCUCUCUAGGUUUCUUCCUAGGUUUUGGCAUUUCUAGGGAGUUUUUCCUAGCCACCGUGCUUCUACACCUGCAUUGCUUGCUGUUUGGGGUUUUAGGCUGGGUUUCUGUACAGCACUUUGAGAUAUCAGCUGAUGUAAGAAACGCUUUAUAAAUACAUUUGAUUUGAUUUGACUUCUUCCGGGAACGUCGCAAUUACAACUGAAAACGAUGGUGACAAGUUUGGAUGCGACAACAGUUAAAAAGGACAGAACAUGGACACAAUGCAAUUGGGAUCAAGAAGGUACAGAUUGUCACGCCCUGACCAGGUGAACUCGGGUAUAUUGGGUCAGGGUGUGUCAGGUUAGGUAUUUUUCAUUGGUUUGUGUUUGGUUUACGUUUUAGCCUUGUGUAGGCUCUAGGUGGGUUUAUUUCUAUGUUGGGUUCUGUCGAUUCCCAAUCAGAGACAGCUGUCGCUAAUUGUCUCUGAUUGGGAUCACAUUUAAGUUGCUGUUUUCCCCACGCUGUUUGUGGGGUGUUGUCUCUUUGUUUGAGCACGUAUCUGCAUUUUUCUUGAUUUUGUGUACAUGUUUAAUUCCAGUGUGUUGAAUAAACAUGUGUUCGCUCCCAGCUGCGUUUUGGUCCGCUUCCUCGUCACCAGGCGAUGCACGUUACACAGAUAUGUUGUAGGACAUCUGCAUUUCAAGUGUACAUUUAACCUACAUAGCAGUCAAUACAAACUGACAUCUAUUAGCAUACAAAUGUGUGCAAAUUAUCUUUUCAGAUCUUCUCAGAAAUGAAUCAAGUCCAUGGAAUGGAUAUAGACAAAAAGAUAAUUCAAGGACUAUCAGAGGUAGAGAGGCGAGGCAGGGGACUGGAGACCACAGCAGCGAUUCUGCUCUUGCCCUACCUCUUCAAUGAGGACCCGAGUGGCCUUUAUGUCCGUGACAAGAUUUCACCGCUCUUCACUCCUUUACUGCACAUCGGUGGAAAUCCAUUUCACCAUGAGAGUGAAAUCCCGCUGGCCUUUGACGGGGAGAACAUCCAGGCCCUAGAGGACGUCCCCGUGGGACUUGGGGCUCUGCUACGGCUGGAUUUUUAUUUUCCCUUAAAUUUCCCC
Molecule: long non-coding RNA, 1663 nt
Filed under: Salmo salar (Atlantic salmon)
Lineage: Eukaryota; Metazoa; Chordata; Actinopteri; Salmoniformes; Salmonidae
Description: lncRNA (ENSSSAG00000084244.1)
Source: RNAcentral